This 354-nucleotide long non-coding RNA is filed under the name Helianthus annuus (common sunflower). RNAcentral's name for it is "sRNA HanXRQr2_Chr08g0349941". Lineage: Eukaryota; Viridiplantae; Streptophyta; Magnoliopsida; Asterales; Asteraceae. The record is from RNAcentral.
UUUGACUCGUUAUCGUAAAGGUAGGAUUAUAAGAAGUCGUAUGAUACAUGUUAUAGCAAUCCGCGUUAAAUGUAAUGACAUGAUGAGUUACAUGAAUUUAAGCGUAUAUGGAAAUGAUUAUAUGAGUUAUGUUGGUUAAGAAUGAAUAAUGAAAGUUAAGUAUGAAAGAUGCGAUUGACAUGAUGGUUAACAUGCACAAAUGAGUAUGCUAAUAAGAGCGUGAUUUUGAUGAAAUGAAAGUAUAGGAAUCACGUCGAGACGGGCGCAAGCAUGAGAUGUUAACGGGUCAAUAAGAGGCAAGGAAUCGGAUGCGAGCACGGACGCAUAAGGUUGUACGAAUCACGGAUUAACCUC